AUGGGGGAUGGUUUCAACAUUCCUAUAUUCCUGCGUGCCACGUAUCGUGUAUGGCCUAUAAUGAGGCCCGGCCUCGUCAACAUGCUCCGCUGUGGAACAGCGGCAACAGCUCACCUCAAACAGGAAGGGGAAAAUAGGUGAAAAUGUUAUACAUCAAAAUGGAAACCAAGAUGUAAUUAUAUGAAUUUUAUGUGUUAACUGAUGGCUGGUGAGGGGAAGUACAGAAAAUACAUCCAGAAUGUCAGCCCAGGGUCAUAAAACUGUCAAACGAAAUCAGAAUCACAGUGCUGCCUGGGGUUCCAGAUCUAGGCUACAGGCUCAGUGCUGCCUGGGGUUCCAGGUCGAGGCUACAGGCUCAGUGCUGCCUGGGGUUCCAGGUCUAGGCUACAGGCUCAGUGCUGCCUGGGGUUCCAGGUCUAGGCUACAGGCUCAGUGCUGCCUGGGGUUCCAGGUCUACACUACAGGCUCAGUGCUGGCCUGGUCGGUCAAACUAUGAUACAGACAACACCAAAACUUUAAUCUAACCAAUGAGACUUUAUGUAAGCAAAAACAAAAUCUCUCCCCAUCACAAAUACUCUCACAGUUUGUUUACAUAUGGUCAGCGUGCUCCUUCCAUCCGUCUGACCAGCUUGUUUUUCCCCACUACCGCAUCAUUGCUGUGUGUGUGUGUGUGUGUGUGUUACAGAUGCUCCUGUGCUACGCUACAAUGAUGCCAGUGUUGUUGAGAGUACCCUGGGUAGUUGUCCCUGGGGGGCGUUCCCACUUCCAGCCGUAAAGAACAGGAAGUUAUUAAAGCAGGCACAUAGUUAGUGACUGUCAUUACAGAAUGAAGGAAGGCCAGUAGAAGUAGGCUUUUACUGCAGUAACACUCAUUAGUGGUGAGAGAGGUGAGAGUCAGGGGCUGAAGAGACUCUCAGGACUGGACUAAAGCACCUUUCACAGGACCAGAGGGCCUAGUCUGCCCUGUAAGCAGCCACAUUUACAACCAGGAGAGGAGUGGAUACUGCGUGUAUACAUGGGUCUAAUCAUGCUGGAAACGUAGACUUAAUCCAAUAGGUCUAUUGGCGGGAUAGGUUUGUAUAACAAUAGCGUGCACAAAGUGAGAAUCUUGAGUUCCCACAACAGACCAAAGCCAUUUAGCUGAUCCAAGAGCUAAGCUAAUUAUACCCUUUAAACAUGCAAAACACAUUCUUAACAAAAAACAGUAUGCCAACAUGCUUAAAAUACUUCCCAUAAAACACACCACGUAAUGUCAGCAAGUUGCAGGUUAGGGACUAGCAGCUAGCAUAGUAAGCUGCAGGUUAGGGACUAGUAGCUAGCAUAGUAAGCUGCAGGUUAGGGACUAGCAGCUAGCAUAGUAAGCUGCAGGUUAGGGACUAGUAGCUAGCAUAGUAAACUGCAGGUUAGGGACUAGCAGCUAGCAUAGUAAGCUGCAGGUUAGGGACUAGUAGCUAGCAUAGUAAACUGCAGGUUAGGGACUAGCAGCUAGCAUAGUAAGCUGCAGGUUAGGGACUAGUAGCUAGCAUAGUAAGCUGCAGGUUAGGGACUAGUAGCUAGCAUAGUAAGCUGCAGGUUAGGGACUAGUAGCUAGCAUAGUACGCUACAGGUUAGGGACCAGUAGCUAGCAUAGUAAGCUGCAGAUUAGGGACUAGUAGCUAGCAUAGUAAGCUGCAGGUUAGGGACUAGUAGCUAGCAUAGUACGCUACAGGUUAGGGACCAGUAGCUAGCAUAGUACGCUGCAGGUUGGGGGCUAGUAGCUAGCAUAUUACGCUGCAGGUUAGGGACUAGCAGCUAGCAUACUAAGCUGCAGGUUAGGGACUAGUAGCUAGCAUAGUAAGCUGCAGGUUAGGGACUAGCAGCUAGCAUAGUAAGCUGCAGGUUAGGGACUAGUAGCUAGCAUAGUAAGCUGCAGGUUAGGGACUAGCAGCUAGCAUAGUAAGCUGCAGGUUAGGGACUAGUAGCUAGCAUAGUAAACUGCAGGUUAGGGACUAGCAGCUAGCAUAGUAAGCUGCAGGUUAGGGACUAGUAGCUAGCAUAGUAAGCUGCAGGUUAGGGACUAGUAGCUAGCAUAGUACGCUACAGGUUAGGGACCAGUAGCUAGCAUAGUACGCUGCAGGUUAGGGGCUAGUAGCUAGGAUAGUACGCUGCAGGUUAGGGACUAGCAGCUAGCAUAGUACGCUACAGGUUAGGGGCUAGUAGCUAGCAUAGUAAACUGCAGGUUAGGGACUAGCAGCUAGCAUAGUAAGCUGCAGGUUAGGGACUAGUAGCUACCAUAGUACGCUGCAAGUUAGGGACUAGUAGCUAGCAUAGUACACUGCAGGUUAGGGACUAGUAGCUAGCAUAGUACGCUACAGGUUAGGGACCAGUAGCUAGCAUAGUACGCUGCAGGUUAGGGGCUAGUAACUAGCAUAGUAUGCUGCAGGUUAGGGACUAGUAGCUAGCACAGUACGCUGCAGGUUAGGGGCUAGUUGCUAGCAUAGUACGGUGCAGGUUAGGGGCUAGUAGCUAGCAUAGUACGCUGCAGGUUAGGGGCUAGUAGCUAGCAUAGUACGCUGCAGGUUAGGGGCUAGUAGCUAGCAUAGUACACUGCAGGUUAGGGGCUAGUAGCUAGCAUAGUACGCUGCAGGUUAGGGGCUAGUAGCUAGCAUAGUACGCUACAGGUUAGGGGCUAGUAGCUAGCAUAGUACACUGCUGCAACAGUUGAAGGCGUUCUUGUUUGCCAUGUUUGUUAGCAUAUAGCCUAGUCCAAGGCAGGAGCCCAUCUCCUGUUUCUGUAGCAUGGGGCGGCGCGAUGUAAGAGCACCCCCUAGACAGGACUAUCACACUGUAUCAAUCAAACAGGGACACUCCUCUAUCACGGCACUCCUCUAUCACAGUUUGUGUGUGCGCUCAGAGCACAACUCAAAGCAACCAUUCCAACAUCAAAUCAAAUCAAAUGUAUUUAUAUAGCCCUUCGUACAUCAGCUGAUAUCUCAAAGUGCUGUACAGAAACCCAGCCUAAAACCCCAAACAGCAAACAAUGAAACAUCAAAGAGCCAUAGACAGAUAGAACAGGCAGAAGACACGGUGCUGCCUAACAAGAGUCUGUCUGUCCCCUCGGACUGCUCUGCUGCUGAUGCUAAAUAAAUGGUUGGAUGAAACGUUUUGUUUAUCUUGGCGAGUGGUACCGUGCAAUUAUGACAUUUGUUGUACACAACUAUUGGUUUGCAUAGCCUAGGUACAUGUACAUGUUCAAAUGUUCUGAGAAACUAGGUUAAAUCAUGGAAAAGCAACCUUUCAGUUAGUGGCCCAGCGCUCUAACCGCUAGGAAACCUGCCGCCCUACACACCCAGUAUAGUUUUAACACCCUAUUGCUCUACCCUAUCAUGACUUAUCAGAUCAGUGCAGAUGAAGAGAAAAAGACAAGGACAGGAAACCAUUUCAUGCUGAAAGAUAAAGACAAAAUGUUUAUCUGAGUUCAUCCGUUAUGAGGCGAUAGCAGCUCCAAGUCACUAGGGGGCGAUAGCACCUUAUAGGCUGAGGUAUUGGACCAAGCCGUGAAGUUGCACCACACAGCACAGCUCUGGGGACAGUGAGUGAAGUAGAAUUUGAUAAAAAUCAUCUGUGUGUUUUGGUAUGAGGCCUUAAUAAUUUUGAUCUACUUCCACUGUCCUCCAAGAGUUGCUGGAUUUCCUCGUCACUUCAGUUUGGUCCUCAAGUUAGGUAGCAGCAGUGUUCUUCCCUUCCCACAGAGAGAAUGAGUCAUGGUCCAGGUAUCUGUCCUCCUGUGAGUGCUGCCUGGAGCUCAGCUUGGCACCCCAGCCUCCUGUCUGUCAACACGCCCGGGAACAUUUACACGAUUUAUGUUCCACACUGCUCUGCUUUUUCCACCUUGGUGAAUUAGCGUGUUAGGGGUUUGGGAGAACUUGCACCACUGCUGCAGUUAGGUGCUGUGGUAUGCCAUCGCCAUCAGACAACACUCCAAUCAAAUCCACGACUCCAAUAUUUCAAACAAAUUCCCAGAUGUUCCCUGAUCCUCCCCCUUGUGUCGGACGCUGUGUCCCAAAUUACACACGAUCCCCUACAUAGUGCUCUAAAGUAGUGCCCUAUAUAGGGAACAGGGUGCCAUUUGGGACAGUCUCAGUCCCAAUAUAACAACAAGACUGACUGGAGCUUGUCCUCUCUGCCAUGCUACACUUCACAGAUUAAACAGCAGGUUCAUGUUUAAAAGAAACUUGUGUUCUGCUUUUAUGGAGCCAGUUUAUGGUUCUGGUUUAAACUCAAACUUAAUCAUUUUAUCCGUUCAAUUAGAUAUAAUUAUAUGACACUGAAAGUCACUUUUUACUGAAGGCUUCUGCCAUACGCUCUGAUAAAAAUAAAAAAUAAAAUCUGCAGUGCCAUAAAACUACAGAGAAACAGAAGCAAUCGUGUGUGUGUGUGUGUUUGUGUGUGUGUGUUGAACUGCAUUCAAUCCAGCCCACAUAGAGAGAAAACAGAAACAGACUGCUGCUUUGAUCUGGUCUGAUGAGAUGUGAGCCCAGACAUACAGACCACCUCUCAUCAGUUCCACAUCUCCUUUAUAGUAGCAUUCCUGCUGCUGGUCUCCUGCUGGAUGAGGCCCUCGCCCAGCUCCACUCUGCCCGCUAUCUUUCACUACAGAAUUGGCUCAAAUCAAUACCUGCCAGUGCAUUGGAUUUAAUGUGCUCCUAUAACCAGAUCCAUCUGGGACACGCCAGUCUGCAGAGCAGGACAACAAGACCCCCCCCCCCCCCUUCUGCUCUGCCAACCUCACUUUUCAUACUGAGAGUGCACUCAAAUACAUUGGUUACAGGACAUGGCUUACCUUACUUUAAAAAAACACUUACUUUUUUUUUUUUACAUGAGUAAAGCAAAACCUCUCAGAUAAACCUGGAGUCUUGAGAGUUCAGUUAAGUACUAAAUGGCACCCUAUAUAGUGCACUAUUGUUUACCAGGGCCAUAUGGAGCCUGACCAAAAGUAGUGCCCUAUAAAAGGGGAUAGGGAACUAUUAGGGACACACAACAAUUCUAAUAUGCUUGCUCACAGCGAGUGGAUUGAGCCAGAUAGGAAUUAUAGGUCAGUAGGUGUCCAGGUUCCCACUCUAGAAGUGUAAUCAAGUUUGGAAGACAGAUGCCCUUGGUCCUUUAAAAUAGAAUUUACCUGUUAUGGGCAGAUGAAUAAGCAACAUGACAUUAUUAUUCUACACAGUGUGGCCAGGGGUACUUCCUGCUUACAGGCUUCAACAAUAACAUGAUGACCACAACUGACCAGACUAACACUAUGGAACGCAUUGGGAACUAGUCUGGUCCCAGAUCUGUUCGUGCUCUUGCCAACUCCAUCGCUGUGGAAAAAAUGUUUGGCGUGACAAGGUGUUGGCAUGAUAGCAUAAACACAAUGACACUAUAUAUAGGCUAAUUGGGAGGAGCUAAAUAAUGGCAGAUUUGGAAUUGUGUUUGAUUUCUGUAAGCUGAAAGUAACCCUGUGUGAUGUACGCUAUAUUAGUCCACCUUAAAUGAGACGAAUUGGAGAGGAACGAGAGAGGACG
Molecule: long non-coding RNA, 5543 nt
Organism: Oncorhynchus keta (chum salmon)
Lineage: Eukaryota; Metazoa; Chordata; Actinopteri; Salmoniformes; Salmonidae
Exons: 5
Source: RefSeq, a predicted model, not a curated record